This 73-nucleotide transfer RNA is filed under the name Gemmatimonadales bacterium. Its description in RNAcentral is "tRNA-Asn". It matches the Rfam family "tRNA". From Rfam's summary of the family: Transfer RNA (tRNA) molecules are approximately 80 nucleotides in length. Their secondary structure includes four short double-helical elements and three loops (D, anti-codon, and T loops). Further hydrogen bonds mediate the characteristic L-shaped molecular structure. tRNAs have two regions of fundamental functional importance: the anti-codon, which is responsible for specific mRNA codon recognition, and the 3' end, to which the tRNAs corresponding amino acid is attached (by aminoacyl-tRNA synthetases). tRNAs cope with the degeneracy of the genetic code in two manners: having more than one tRNA (with a specific anti-codon) for a particular amino acid; and 'wobble' base-pairing, i.e. permitting non-standard base-pairing at the 3rd anti-codon position. Lineage: Bacteria; Pseudomonadati; Gemmatimonadota; Gemmatimonadia; Gemmatimonadales. RNAcentral also lists the same sequence under 1 other name. The record is from RNAcentral.
UGGGGUGUAGCUCAACUGGCAGAGCGCCCGGCUGUUACCCGGAAGGUUGCUGGUUCGAAUCCAGCCGCCCCAG